RNAcentral lists this ribosomal RNA (184 nucleotides) under uncultured bacterium. RNAcentral's name for it is "partial 16S ribosomal RNA". It matches the Rfam family "Bacterial small subunit ribosomal RNA", at positions 1318 to 1500 of the family's 1533-position model. The record is from RNAcentral.
ACAUGAAGCUGGAAUCGCUAGUAAUCGCGGAUCAGAAUGCCGCGGUGAAUACGUUCCCGGGUCUUGUACACACCGCCCGUCACACCAUGGGAGUCGGAAAUGCCCGAAGUCUGUGACCUAACCGUAAGGAAGGAGCGGCCGAAGGCAGGGUCGGAUGACUGGGGUGAAGUCGUAACAAGGUAAC